UGGCCAAUACAGUCAAAUCAUACAAUAACUGCCAAUCAUGCUGGUGCCUCAAUCCCUUAAAAUCUGACCAAGUCAAAAGAUGAAGCUAGUAAUAUAAUAAUAUGAAUUAUGAAAAUAAAAUGACACUUUAUGAAGAAGCAAAACGGUCUUUGAAAAAGUUCAAGGGAGAAGGAGGUCAAGUGAAGGGUGUAGCUCAAAGUAUAAAACUUGAACCAACCUUUUUGGCUGAAAACGAGGAAGCAUUGUGGGCUGCAGGUUAUGUGAAAAGGGGUAACAGCUAUGGCUAUAAACGUGGAGGCCGCUAUAGCAGAGGUGGAGGACGUGGACAAGGAUUUCAGUCAUCUCAAAGAGGGGCAAAGAAUUUAAACCCAUCAGGACCAGAUGGGAAACUUUUAACAUGCAGAUCAUGUGGAUCCUACAGACAUCUUGUUGCAAAAUGUCCAGACAGCUGGGAAAAUCUGUCAAAAGUCCAUAUUACAGAAGAGGAAGAACAUGCUGUUUUAUUCACUGGAUACCAAAAACAAGACAUUAAACAGCUAGGAAAUGAUGCUCGUAAUUGUGCAGUAUUGGACAGUGCAUGUAGUAGUACAGUAUGUGGAAAAACAUGGCUCAACAGUUAUCUUUAUUCAUUGAAUGAAGAGGAUCGUGAAAAGGUUGUCAAUCGCAGCGGACAUAAAGUAUUCAAGUUUGGAGGAGGAACCAGGCUCAAAUCAGUUGGAGAGUAUGAUUUGCCUAUUUGUAUGGUUGGUGAGCAAGUGAAACUAAAAACUGAUGUGGUUGAUUCAGAUAUCCCUCUCUUGCUUUCAAGGUCUGCUAUGAAAAAGGCCGGAGUAAAAAUGGAUUUAGAGAAUGACACAGCAAUAAUUAUGGGAAAGGAAGUAUCACUGAAUCUUACAUCAUCAGGGCACUAUUGUAUACCCAUAGAUAAGACAGAAACAUUGAAAGUAGAAGAAGUAAAUGCUGUCAGGUUAGAUGAAUUGAAUGUAGAGAAAAGAAAAACAGCUUUACUCAAACUUCAUCGUCAAUUUGCACAUCCACCUAAAAAACGCCUUGUGGCAUUGCUAAAAGAUGCUGGGACUUGGAAAGAGGAAUAUGAUGAGGACCUAUCAGAAAUUCAAUCUAAAUGUGAUCUAUGUAAAAUGUAUGCUGUGACACCACCAAGGCCAGUAGUCUCAAUGCCUAUGGCAAAACAAUUUAACGAAAAAGUUACAAUAGAUUUGAAACAGUAUAAAGACCGUUGGAUUCUCCAUAUGAUAGACAUGUGGUCAAGAUAUACAGUGUCAGUCUUUAUAAAUAGAAAGAAACCUACUAAUGUAAUAGAGGCAUUAAUGAAAAACUGGGUAGGAAUUUUCGGAGUCAUGGGAGCUCUCAUGUCUGACAAUGGAGGUGAAUUUAGUUCUGAUGAGAUGAGGGAGGUAGCAUCUAUUUUAAAUGUUAAAGUAUGUACAACAGCUGGAAUGAGCCCAUAUCAGAAUGGACUUUGUGAACGUGUACAUGCUAUUACUGAUAUUAUGCUGAUGAAACUUGAGGCUGAAAAUAAAAAUGUAGAAUCAGGAACACUUUUAUCAUGGGCAAAUAUGGCACGGAAUUCACUGCAAAUGUGGAAUGGUUUCAGCAGUCACCAAUUAGUUUUUGGUAAAAAUCCUAAUUUGCCAAACUUAAUGCAUGCACAGCUACCAGCAUUAGAGGGAACAACUGGUAGUGAGGCAUUUGCUAAACAUUUAAAUACUUUACAUGAGACACGAAAAGCUUAUAUUCAAACUGAAGCAGACGAAAGAAUCCGCAGAGCUUUGCGCUCAAAAGUAAGAGCAGCUGAACAAGUAUAUGAGAAUGGUGACAUGGUGUUUUACAAAAGGGAAGGGAAAGAACGUUGGCUCGGACCAGGGAAAGUAGUAUUUCAAGAUGGAAAAGUUGUUUUUGUCAGACACGGUGGAGUAUUUGUUAGAGUAUCCCCAAACAGAUUAUGCAAAAUAAAUACUGAUUUGGGAGAAAAUAAAGAACAAGAUAACAUAGCGUUGAAGAAAAGUGACAUUAUUAUUAGUAAUGAAAUUAAAGAACAAACUAAUGAAGAAAAGAAAUCCUUUGACAUUAUUUCAGAAACUAUAACAAGUGCACCUCAAGAAGAUCCAUCUCAUGAAGCAACAGCUGUUAGUCAUAAUUUACAGCUUAUAAAGAAAGAUGAUAACAUUCGAUAUAAACUACAAGGCUCAGAUGAAUGGAUCAGUGCAACUGUGCUUGGAAGAGCGGGCAAAGCAACAGGAGGGAACAAAAGUUGGUAUAAUGUGAAAGAUCAUGUAAGCGAUGAACAAAAAAGUGUAGACUUGGGUAAUCUAGAAUGGAAUAUUUUAGAAGACCAGACCAAUGACAUUGAAGUUCAAACAACUGAUGAAGUGGAUCAAAAUGAUAGUGACAUUGCAAAGCAACUAGAAUUACAAAAGCUGAGACAAUUUAACACUUAUGAGGAAGUUGAAGAUGGUGGUCAAAAGACAAUUUCUACUAGAUGGGUAAUAACUAAUAAAAAUGGAGAAACUAGAGCUAGAUUAGUAGCUCGGGGUUUUGAAGAACACUCUUUCAUUCCUAAAGAUAGUCCUACAAUAGGAAAAGGAUCUAUUAGAAUAUUCCUUACAUUUGCUGCAAGCAAGAAAUGGUCAAUAAAAACUACCGACAUUAAAUCAGCAUUUCUACAAGGAAAGAAAUUAGAUCGUGAUGUCCAUAUUAAACCUCCAGUUGAAAGUGAUACACCAAAAGGACUCAUUUGGAAACUUAAACAUGGAUUGUAUGGACUAAAGGAUGGCGCUAGGCAGUUUUAUAUAAGUGUUAAGGAUGAACUCUUAAAUUUAGGAUGCAGACAAUCAAAACUUGACCCUGCUUUGUUUAUUCUGACAGUAAAGGGAUCUCUUCAAGGUAUUUUCUGUUGUCAUGUAGAUGACUUUCUCCAUGCAGGAAAUGAAGAAUUUGAGAAACUGAUGGAAAAAUUGAGGAAGAGAUUUAUAGCAGGAAAAAUUGAAGAAGAGAAUUUUCGUUAUAUAGGUUUUAUGAUAAAGCAAAACAAUGAAGGUAUACAACUUGAUCAUUCAAUUUACAUGGAAAAACUAGAUCACCAACAUAUAGAGCCACAGCGUGCAUUUCAGAAAUUGAAACAACUUACCCAAGAAGAGCAGAAAGAUUAUCGCAGAAUGGUUGGGCAACUGAACUGGGCAGUGCAAGGAUCAAGACCAGAUUUGGCUUUUGAACUUGUUGAUUUAAGUACUAAAUUGAAAAGUGCAUUAGUUUGUGAUCUUUUACGUGCUAUUAAAAACAUUGGAAAGUUAAAGGACAUAAGGCCUAUUCAGCUUUUCCCAUCAUUAAAAGGAAAGGAAACAGAAGACUGGGAAAUUUUUGUAUUUAGUGAUGCAGCAUUAGGAAAUAUAAAUGAUGGUAAAGGGAGUACAGGAGCUCACAUUGUUUGGAUAAAAGAUAGAAUAGGAAAAUGUUGUCCAAUUUCAUGGCAAGCCAAUAAGAUCAAAAGGGUUGUUCGUUCUACUAUAGCUGCAGAAGCUUUAAGUCUGCAGGAUGGAUUAGAAACAGCAUUAUAUUUUCGGAGUAUUAUUGAGGACAUUUGUGGAGUUGCACAAAGAACUAUACCUAUUACAGCUUUUAUUGACAACAAAAGUGUUACCGAGGCAUUAAAAUCAACCAAGUUGGUAGAGGACAAAAGAUUAAGAAUAGACAUUGCAUCUAUAUCUGAAAUGAUUGAAAACAGCUGUGUUGAAGUAAAAUGGUGUCCAGGAAAAGUCCAAUUAGCAAAUUCUAUGACCAAAAGAGGAGCUUCUGGAAUUGAACUCUUAAAUGUGCUACAGAAAGGACAAAUGCCUGAAGAAUUUGUGUGAAUCAAUAGUAUUAACAUUUACAUUUACUUUUACAUUUGUUUUUCGGAAAAGGGGCAGAAUAAUCCCCGUGACCUGAGGAUAGUCCAAUCCCAUGAAGGUUACAUCAAAAUUAAUUUUUUCAUUCUUUGUUUUCGGAAAAAGGGGCAGAAUAAUCCCCGUGACUUGAGGACAGUCUAUCCUAUGACAGUCACAUCAAAAAUUAGUUAAUCACCAUAUUUUGUUCAUUGAGCUAAAGAAUUGUGUUAUCUCAUAAAGACUUAUUAACGUUACAAAAGAAGACAUUUUAAUUAAUGUUGAUAACUUAAAUCACUGUAUCAAGAAAGAUAACUCUUACUCUCUGUAAUAAGCUCUUUUGUCUUAAAGAUGCUAACUGUCUCUUGGAUGAAUAAAAUGGUGUAACUAACAUGUGUUAACAAUGCGUAC
RNAcentral lists this small RNA (4292 nucleotides) under Mytilus galloprovincialis (Mediterranean mussel). Lineage: Eukaryota; Metazoa; Mollusca; Bivalvia; Mytilida; Mytilidae. The record is from RNAcentral.